This 250-nucleotide ribosomal RNA is filed under the name uncultured bacterium. Its description in RNAcentral is "partial 16S ribosomal RNA". It matches the Rfam family "Bacterial small subunit ribosomal RNA", at positions 524 to 773 of the family's 1533-position model. The record is from RNAcentral.
UACGUAGGGUGCAAGCAUUAAUCGGAAUUAUUGGGCGUAAAGGGCGCGUAGGCGGAUUGAUAAGUCAGAUGUGAAAUACCAAAGCUCAACUUUGGUGCUGCAUUUGAAACUGUCUCUCUAGAGGAUUGACGGAGAAAGGGGAAUUCCACGUGUAGCGGUGAAAUGCGUAGAUACGUGGAGGAACACCGGUGGCGAAAGCGCCUUUCUAGUUUAGACCUGACGCUGAGGCGCGAGAGCAAGGGGAGCAAAC